GUGCAACAAAAUACAUGAACCCUAUCCAUUUUAAAUUUUUUCUAUCUCUAUUCAUCUUCUUCUUCUCAAACCGGGCAAAUUUUCUAAAACGCAAUACAACAAGGGAAGAAGCUGACAACAAGAAAAGAGCGAAAUGGAUAAGAAGGAGCAAAUAAAACAAGAAACACAUGUGAAGCAAUCUAUAUCCGGAGGUACACUGAGCUAUUAUAAUAUUUUAAUAAUAAUAUUUUAAAUAAUAAACGCAAACACAACUAUUAUAAUAAAUAAUUAAACGUUGGAUUAUAUAUACACUUAACACUAAAGUGUAUACAAAUUGGAUUAGUGAUGUGUGCGUUUACGUAUAAGCUUAUGCAUGAAUGGAAUCAAAAGGAAACUACUACGAUUUAGUCUUCAUGCGUGUCCGUGAGACCGUCGUAUGGUUAAAGUUGGUAAACUAGGCAUGGCUCAUAACUUUGUUAAGUCGCCACGAAUAUGUGCCAUAUUAUAUAUUUAUAUAUAUAUAUAAGUGCGAUCUAGUUGGAUUUCAUAUUAUAUAUCGUUGAAUUAUAAACAUCAUCGAAAUAUUAGAUUCCUUUCACGCACAAGCUUUCUUGGAAAUAAAUCUCAAUCCUUCUUGGCUUCACUUCGAGCCGGACCUAAGCACAUCCAUAUGAAAUGUUUUGAUGGGUUUUCACUUCAUAAGCUCCACUCUCAAAUAAAAAAUUAAUUAGAUAUAUAUUAGUAUAUUUAAAACUAUCAUUAGUAAAAUAAUCAGCUAUAGCCACAAUUUAUUUCAUGGCUAUAGAUCAAUUUUUGUGGUUGUAUGCAGGUGGCUAUAUGUAGGUUUAGCCACGAAAAAUCACGAAGACUUUGAUGUACGUUCGUAUCUAUUUUAAAUUGUGGGUAUCGUGGCCAAAAACCCUGAUUUUCCAUGACACAUUCGUGACUAUAUACGGCUGUCAUGAAUAUUUUGUGGCUAUUCUAGUCACGUUUUGCCACUAUAAUUUUCGUGGAUGAUUAGUUAUGAAAAUGACACAAUUUUUUUUAUUUUGUGUGUAAUGAGUUUUUAGCCAUGAAAAUGAUGUGACCAUUGCGUGGCUUAUGUAUAACUAAGUUUUUUUGCCAUGAUAUAUUUUGUGAUUUUGGAUGAUAAAUGAAAAGUAUAUAUAUAUAUAUUAAAAGCCAAAAUUAUAUAGUAUAAUAUAUUUUUUUGAAACAGAAAUUGAAAUGAAACUAUACAUUGUUCCAAAAUUCAAAUAGAAGCAACUAAAGUUUUUGAUCAUGACACAACAAUAAUAACAUCUAAAAUCUGUGAGCUAAAUCUAAUUUAAUUUCCUUAACACACUACCUAUCCAACAGAUUGUUAAUUUGUGGUGCGAGUUGAUUUGAUGUGAGCUUGAAAAGAAGCUUGAGGCUGACCUUGAGUUUCAGGUUGAAGCAGUGUUGUCGGUGCAGUUGAGGCAAGAAAAAACAGAAGCUGGAGAGCUGGAGAGCUUGCAAAAAUCAAUUACAAGGCAUCAUCUCGAUUCUCGAAUUUCAUCAGCUACAGAGAGAGGAUUUAACUUGUGUCCAGAACUUUUUGAAAAAAAAGAAGAAGAUAAUAAC
RNAcentral lists this long non-coding RNA (1584 nucleotides) under Brassica rapa (field mustard). Its description in RNAcentral is "long non-coding RNA (BRAP_LNC007826)". The record is from RNAcentral. Lineage: Eukaryota; Viridiplantae; Streptophyta; Magnoliopsida; Brassicales; Brassicaceae.